RNAcentral lists this transfer RNA (74 nucleotides) under Lactococcus lactis. RNAcentral's name for it is "tRNA-Ile". It matches the Rfam family "tRNA". Rfam says of the family: Transfer RNA (tRNA) molecules are approximately 80 nucleotides in length. Their secondary structure includes four short double-helical elements and three loops (D, anti-codon, and T loops). The record is from RNAcentral. Lineage: Bacteria; Bacillati; Bacillota; Bacilli; Lactobacillales; Streptococcaceae. RNAcentral also lists the same sequence under 3 other names.
GGUUCUUUAGCUCAGUUGGUCAGAGCUAAUGGCUCAUAACCGUUCGGUCGCUGGUUCGAGUCCAGCAAGAACCA